GAUGAACGCUGGCGGCGCGCCUAACACAUGCAAGUCGAACGAUUAAAGCACCUUCGGGUGUGUAUAAAGUGGCGAACGGCUGAGUAACACGUGGGCAACCUGCCCCUUUCAUUGGGAUAGCCACGGGAAACCGUGGAUAAUACCGAAUACUUCGAGACUUCCGCAUGGAAGACUCGAGAAAGCUCCGGCGGAGAGGGAUGGGCCCGCGGCCUGUUAGCUUGUUGGUGGGGUAACGGCCUACCAAGGCAAUGAUGGGUAGCUGGGUUGAGAGACCGACCAGCCAGAUUGGGACUGAGACACGGCCCAGACUCCUACGGGAGGCAGCAGUGGGGAAUCUUGCACAAUGGGCGAAAGCCUGAUGCAGCGACGCCGCGUGCGGGAUGAAGGCCUUCGGGUUGGAAACCGCUUUCAGCAGGGACGAGGCGAAAGUGACGGUACCUGCAGAAGAAGCCCCGGCUAACUACGUGC
RNAcentral lists this ribosomal RNA (468 nucleotides) under uncultured bacterium. RNAcentral describes it as "partial 16S ribosomal RNA". It matches the Rfam family "Bacterial small subunit ribosomal RNA", at positions 28 to 508 of the family's 1533-position model. The record is from RNAcentral.